GGAGAGAUGGCCGAGCGGUCUAAGGCGCUGGUUUAAGGCACCAGUCUCUUCGGAGGCAUGGGUUCGAAUCCCACUCUCUUCA
Molecule: transfer RNA, 82 nt
Filed under: Pristionchus pacificus
Lineage: Eukaryota; Metazoa; Nematoda; Chromadorea; Rhabditida; Neodiplogasteridae
Description: tRNA-Leu (AAG) (tRNA-Leu-AAG-5-1)
Rfam family: tRNA
About the family: Transfer RNA (tRNA) molecules are approximately 80 nucleotides in length. Their secondary structure includes four short double-helical elements and three loops (D, anti-codon, and T loops).
Source: Rfam by way of RNAcentral